This is a long non-coding RNA of Drosophila obscura, 1859 nucleotides long. RefSeq lists it as uncharacterized. The transcript has 3 exons. The record is from RefSeq and is a predicted model, not a curated record. Lineage: Eukaryota; Metazoa; Arthropoda; Insecta; Diptera; Drosophilidae.
GCAUGAGACCAUUGCACUCCGCUACCUGCAUAAGGAGGAGAGAGAAUCAAAGACAAGCGUCGUGAUGAUCUCAUCGCAGCGAGCUUAGCAUAAAGUUUUGUCCCAAAUCUAAGCGCAGCAGCCCGUUCGUUGCGUCGCGGACCUAAAAAUACUUAAAAAUCGGAAAUAACUCGCAAUAUAUUACUAAAAACCCGCAGAAGUCGCGUGCAAGAUGUAUUGCUAAUUGCAAAGUACAAAAAAAAGCCCCAAAAAGCCUGAAAAUUAUAAAUUUUUUUAUUGUGAAAAGCCUGAAAAGUGUGUGCGGAGAGCCAAAGGUCUAGCUAAAAGUUAAGUAAUGAUCGCAGCAUUAGUGAAAAUGAUAAAAUUCAGUGUUCUAGUAGCAGUGAAAAAUGAAAAAUUCCAGCGCUCAUUUGGAGUGAGCAUGGAAACGCAAGAAGAAAUAACGGAAUCAUUUAAAGCUGUUGUCGUACAGGAUGGUCAUCGGACGGCAAGGAGUGCAAGGAGGAUUGCAAAAAGUGAGUGAAAGUGAAAAGUGAAAGCGCUUGUGAAAACAAAACAGUUAAAUGCACCGCAAGGACUAAAUAAAGGAGCGGAAUAAGAAAUACAGCGCAAGUGAUAGUGAAAAGUGAAAAAAAAACCUGCCUGCCAAAAUUCUAUUGCGUCGCCGCAGCUGUCGCGCUGCUUCCACAGUGGAAACCCAGAAAGAAAGGAAUAGCGAAAUCAUAUUAUACUGUUGUCGUACAGGUGUGCAAGGAGGAAAGGAUUCCAAAAGCUGUUGUCGUACAGGAUGGUCAUCGGACGGCAAGGAGGGAAAGGAUUUAAAAUGCUGUUGUCGUACAGGAUGGUCAUCGGACGGCAAGGAGGGAAAGAAUUUUACAUGCUGUUGUCGUACAGGAUGGUCAUCGGACGGCAAGGAGGGAAAGAAGGAUCGCAAAAAGUGAAAGUGAAAAGUGAAAGCGCAAGUGAAUGAAAACAGUUGAAUGUACCGCAAGGACUAAAGAAAGGAGCGGAAUAAGAAAUUGAGCGCUAGUGAGUGAAAAAAGUGAGUGAAAAGUGAAAAAUGAAAGCGCAUGUGAAGAAAAACAGUUGAAUGUACCGCAAGGACUAAAGAAAGGAGCGGCCUAAGACAUUGAGCGCUAGUGAGUGAUAAAAGUGAGUGAAAUGCUGCGAUCAAGUGAGUGCAAGUGCAGGAGGGAAUGAAUUGAGGCAAUAUGGGCAAAAGUGAGUGUUAGAGCGCGAGUGAAAAACGAAAUAAAAUAUAAACAGCAACUACAGACAGCGGAAAGAGAACGGGAACUUCACUGAGAGAGGUUUAAGGACGGAGGUGCAUAGCACUGCUUGUUUUUUCAAUUGAGCAUUAGUAAAAUGCAAGGCCCUCAGAGCGGAGGAUCAUAGCUCUUUUUUGAUUUCGUCAGAAGACAGAAAGCAAAAGACAUUUCACUCUGUGCAUUAGUAAAAUUCAAGUUUUCUCUUCACGUCUGUUUUGGAUGCCGCUUCUGUUUCCCACUCAAAUGGAAAACUGUGCAAUAGUAUACGAAAACACAGAAAAGCGUGUGCCAUUAUAAAAAACUUCAAAAACCGAAAGCCAGGCGGACCAAGGUGGAAUAAUGCAGCAGGAAGGGAGUGGCCUCCAUGUUGCAUUUGCAGCUGUUGUCACAGCAAGGCAUUAAUUAUGCCAUCAACAAAGGGACUACGACAGCGCAGAAGACAUAUCCUGUUGACAGUCUCACACACCUUCUUAAAUGUGGCACUGCCACCGGGCUAUGCCCUCCUGCCCUGUUCCAUGGUCUUGCACUGAGCAAAGUGCACUAAGCAAAGUUUUUCGCGUGGCAAUGGAAGUCACGUGGGCCUGCAAGUUG